RNAcentral lists this ribosomal RNA (490 nucleotides) under uncultured bacterium. RNAcentral describes it as "partial 16S ribosomal RNA". It matches the Rfam family "Bacterial small subunit ribosomal RNA", at positions 28 to 507 of the family's 1533-position model. The record is from RNAcentral.
GAUGAACGCUAGCGAUAGGCUUAACACAUGCAAGUCGAGGGGCAGCAUGGUCUUAGCUUGCUAAGACUGAUGGCGACCGGCGCACGGGUGCGUAACGCGUAUGCAACUUGCCUCACAGAGGGGGAUAACCCGUCGAAAGACGGACUAAUACCGCGUACACUUGGGAUAGGGCAUCCUGACCCAAGGAAAUGAAAUUCGCUGUGAGAUAGGCAUGCGUCCCAUUAGCUAGUUGGUGAGGUAACGGCCCACCAAGGCGACGAUGGGUAGGGGAACUGAGAGGUUGAACCCCCACACUGGUACGGGGACACGGACCAGACUCCUACGGGAGGCAGCAGUGAGGAAUAUUUGUACAUGGGCGAGAGCCUGAACCAGCCAAGUCGCGUGAAGGAUGACUGUCUUAUGGAUUGUAAACUUCUUUUAUAAGGGAAUAACAAGAGCCACGUGUGGCUCCCUGCAUGUACCGUAUGAAUAAGCAUCGGCUAACUCCGUG